CAGCCGUAAACUAUGCGCGUUAGGUGUACUGGUGACCACGAGUCACCGGGGUGCCGAAGGGAAACCGUGAAACGUGCCGCCUGGGAAGUACGGUCGCAAGGCUGAAACUUAAAGGAUUGGCGGGGGAGCACCACAACGGGUGGAGCCUGCGGUUUAAUUGGACUCAACGCCGGAAAUCUCACCGGAUAGGACAGACAUAUGAUAGUCGGGCUGAAGACUCUACUUGAUGAUCUGAGAGGGAGGUGCAUGGCGUCAGUGACU
Molecule: ribosomal RNA, 261 nt
Filed under: uncultured archaeon
Lineage: Archaea
Description: partial 16S ribosomal RNA
Rfam family: Archaeal small subunit ribosomal RNA
Source: RNAcentral